RNAcentral lists this ribosomal RNA (253 nucleotides) under uncultured bacterium. RNAcentral's name for it is "partial 16S ribosomal RNA". It matches the Rfam family "Bacterial small subunit ribosomal RNA", at positions 524 to 776 of the family's 1533-position model. The record is from RNAcentral.
UACGUAGGGUGCGAGCGUUAAUCGGAAUUACUGGGCGUAAAGCGUGCGCAGGCGGUUUUGUAGGCCAGAUGUGAAAUCCCCGAGCUCAACCUGGGAAUGGCAUUUGGGACUGCAAGGCUUGAGUGCGGCAGAGGAGACUGGAAUUCCUGGUGUAGCAGUGAAAUGCGUAGAUAUCAGGAGGAAUACCGAUGGCGAAGGCAGGUCUCUGGGCUGACACUGACGCUCAUGCACGAAAGCGUGGGGAGCAAACAGG